Molecule: long non-coding RNA, 1825 nt
Organism: Homo sapiens (human)
Lineage: Eukaryota; Metazoa; Chordata; Mammalia; Primates; Hominidae
Source: Ensembl
AAAAUGCUACUAAAAUGACAGCAAAGAAGCCAAAAAGGCCCAAGUCCACAAGACAGAAAGAAUAGGUGAAAAGUCCAUGUCAUCUCAUUUUUGGAGAUGGACAUGGACAGGGGCUGAAACUGCAGUACCAGCAGAUGGGGAGCUUAAGAAGGAAGCUAGUUCAUGGCACAGCACCCGUAAAGUCCCCAGAAUUGGAGGCACCAGAUUCUUCUGAAAGAAAAGGAGCAAUUCAGCACUUGUCAUGCAGAUAAGAGGUCAACACCCCAGGACGGAGUGAAAACCUAAGGAUUCACAAACCCACCCUUGUGCGAAUCCAGCCGUCUGUGUUCUAGACUGGCAAGGACCAUAUCUGAUUCUGAGAUGCUCAGGAAGGUGUGCUCCCAAUUGGCCCUUGUCCAGACUAGUUUACUUGCUGAGUAUCCCCAGGGCACAGGAACAAUCAUUUGGGGUUGCGGCUUUGUUCAUAGGGUCAUCAAGACAGGAGGAUAUGAGGCAGAAUCACCACACAAGCUAACCUGAUGUACAUAUGACAUUAAUCCAAUAGACUUAGGAAUAAGAUACAGGGGGUUUUCCUGAAUGAUUCGAGUAUAUCCCCAUUCAUAUUAAGAAAACAAAGUAUUGGCCAAGCGUGGUGGCUCACGCCUGUAAUCCCGGCACUUUGGAAGGCCGAGGCCAGUGGAUCACCUGAGAUGGACUCAACGACUCUCUUACCGUCCAGCUCUCAAGUCCCUUCUCUUGUGAAAAUGGAAAAGUUGAACUACAGUUGAGAUAUUAUUCCCAGGUGUUCUUUGGAACACAGGGGAUUUCUCCAAAAGGCACAGAACAAAUUGCCUCCAAACAGCCAAGAUUCCAGCAGAAGCUGGAGUAGCAGACUACUUGGAUCUUCAAAGUACCUGGCCCUGAGUCAGUUAAGGAAGAUCUUUUCUUCUCUUUUGUACAAUCCUAUGAUGAGAGCUGCAAAGUGAACUGACUAAGAGCUUCUGCCUUGAUCAUUGACCUCCCAAUCCUAAUAAUAUGUUCACUGGCCAAACUUCCUAAUCGAUUUGUCUUUUGGAUAUAACGUUCCUCCUACUGUUUGCCUGAUUGAGAAAUCUGCUACAGAACAUGACCGGUUAGCAUUCCCACCAACCCCAGUGCUACACUGACUGUCUUUCGAUGGACUUUGCUCCUUGCUGCCUCUCUGAGGUCCCAGACCUUCAGAGUGACCUUCACAGCUCUGCCUAACUUUCUGUCAUACUUCUAUCAAGAGAGACAGCUAAAUCAAUAUUUUUAAUGUGCUUUGCUGUCGGAAUUCGAUGAUCUGUCACAGUUCUUGCCCAAUACACCCCAUCAUUAUUGUUAAAAUGUUUUUAGCUUUGUUUGUAGAAUUGCUUUAACUGGUUUCAUCUCUGGGAGCUACACUUUGAAAUAUAACUUUAGCAACAUUUUACUAUACUUUUUCACAACCCAGAGCAGUACUAUUUUAUGCUUAGUGGUUAAACUAAUUCCAUAAAUCUUUUGCAACUAUCCUCUAUUCUUUUUCUUGUAAUUUUUACCUGGGAAGGUUUUUACUGAUAAUCAUCCUAUCCUGAGUCAUCCCACAAACCAAUCUGUCUCACUAAUCAUUGCUUCUAACCUACAGACUAAGCAUAACUUCUGCUAAAUGAUCUUUGAUAAGAUGCUAUGACUCUAUAAAGUCUUUGAUAUUCAUGUCUAAAUUUAAUCACUUGUAGAUUUUCAUAGAAUCAAUCUUUCACUUCUACAAUUGGGAGUAUUUAUAAGUUGUUUAUCUUAAACAGUUCCUCUAUCACGCUUUUCACGUUAAAUAAAGCAAUCCCUUCAAAUC